Molecule: transfer RNA, 88 nt
Filed under: Acidobacteriota bacterium
Lineage: Bacteria; Pseudomonadati; Acidobacteriota
Description: Acidobacteria bacterium tRNA-Ser
Rfam family: tRNA
About the family: Transfer RNA (tRNA) molecules are approximately 80 nucleotides in length. Their secondary structure includes four short double-helical elements and three loops (D, anti-codon, and T loops). Further hydrogen bonds mediate the characteristic L-shaped molecular structure. tRNAs have two regions of fundamental functional importance: the anti-codon, which is responsible for specific mRNA codon recognition, and the 3' end, to which the tRNAs corresponding amino acid is attached (by aminoacyl-tRNA synthetases). tRNAs cope with the degeneracy of the genetic code in two manners: having more than one tRNA (with a specific anti-codon) for a particular amino acid; and 'wobble' base-pairing, i.e. permitting non-standard base-pairing at the 3rd anti-codon position.
Source: RNAcentral
GGAGGGAUGGCCGAGUGGUCGAAGGCGCUGGUCUUGAAAACCAGUGAGGUGCAAGUCUCCAAGGGUUCGAAUCCCUUUCCCUCCGCCA